AACGCUAGCUACAGGCUUAACACAUGCAAGUCGAGGGGCAGCAUUAGGUAGCAAUACUGAGAUGGCGACCGGCGCACGGGUGCGUAACGCGUAUCCAACUUUCCCGUUACUCUGGGAUAGCCUUCCGAAAGGGAGAUUAAUACCGGAUGGUGUUUGAAUUCCGCAUGUUAUUCAAACUAAAGAUUUAUCGGUAACGGAUAGGGAUGCGUGACAUUAGGUAGAUGGCGGGGUAACGGCCCACCAUGCCUGCGAUGUCUAGGGGUUCUGAGAGGAAGGUCCCCCACACUGGAACUGAGACACGGUCCAGACUCCUACGGGAGGCAGCAGUGAGGAAUAUUGGUCAAUGGUCGGAAGACUGAACCAGCCAAGUAGCGUGAAGGAUGAAGGUUCUAUGGAUUGUAAACUUCUUUUAUAUAGGAAUAAAACCUCCCACGUGUGGGAGCUUGUAUGUACUAUAUGAAUAAGCAUCGGCUAACUCCGUGCCAGCAGCCGCGGUAAUACGGAGGAUGCGAGCGUUAUCCGGAUUUAUUGGGUUUAAAGGGAGCGUAGACGGGAUGUUAAGUCAGUUGUGAAAGGCUGCGGCUCAACCGCAGCACUGCAGUUGAUACUGGCGUCCUUGAGUGCGGUUGAGGUGUGUGGAAUUCGUGGUGUAGCGGUGAAAUGCUUAGAUAUCACGAAGAACUCCGAUUG
This 690-nucleotide ribosomal RNA is filed under the name uncultured Bacteroidales bacterium. RNAcentral's name for it is "bacterial SSU rRNA". It matches the Rfam family "Bacterial small subunit ribosomal RNA", at positions 32 to 715 of the family's 1533-position model. The record is from RNAcentral. Lineage: Bacteria; Pseudomonadati; Bacteroidota; Bacteroidia; Bacteroidales.